AACGAACGCUGGCGGCAGGCCUAACACAUGCAAGUCGAGCGCGCCCUUCGGGGUGAGCGGCGGACGGGUGAGUAACGCGUGGGAACGUGCCCUUUUCUACGGAAUAGCCUCGGGAAACUGAGGGUAAUACCGUAUACGCCCUUUGGGGGAAAGAUUUAUCGGAAAAGGAUCGGCCCGCGUUGGAUUAGGUAGUUGGUGGGGUAAUGGCCUACCAAGCCGACGAUCCAUAGCUGGUUUGAGAGGAUGAUCAGCCACACUGGGACUGAGACACGGCCCAGACUCCUACGGGAGGCAGCAGUGGGGAAUCUUAGACAAUGGGGGCAACCCUGAUCUAACCAUGCCGCGUGAGUGAUGAAGGCCUUAGGGUUGUAAAGCUCUUUCAGCUGGGAAGAUAAUGACGGUACCAGCAGAAGAAGCCCCGGCUAACUCCGUG
Molecule: ribosomal RNA, 433 nt
Filed under: uncultured bacterium
Lineage: Bacteria
Description: partial 16S ribosomal RNA
Rfam family: Bacterial small subunit ribosomal RNA
Source: RNAcentral